CAAGUUUCAAGCUGGGCUUUGGCCUGGUUCAAGUCCCACCUGAGUUAUACAGUUCCAAUACCAAGAGUUGAAGUAAAUGGUAAGAGAUGACUGUUUAUUACUAUCCUGAAUGUAAGGCAUGAUGAGUGGAAUUUUAAGAGUCUUUAUUUAAAAAAAAAUUUUUUAUAAACAAAUGUAAAACUCAUCAAUCCAUUAACUAAAAGCUUUGCUGCCCCAAACAUGGCAAUUUCUCAAACAUGAAAUCAGUGAUUUGCAACGUAAAUAAAGCAAUCAGAGUGAUGAAAAUAGAAAGCUUCCAGCAAAAUCAACUUCUGAGAACUGCUGCCAAAGGGAGAAUAACAAGCAUUUUCAAGCUAAAAUUUGGGCUGAAAAUGAGCUGUGAAUAAGCUGCAAAUGAUCACCUCUCUCUGAAACCCAGUGGUUAAUUAUGCUGUUUCACAGCAAGGUAUGUACAGAUACAUCCCAGAUAAAAGAAAUAAAUGUACAUUCAGAGAGAAUUCAAACCACAAUUCCUUUGAUGAUGUAUCACUCAUUUGUUUUUCUUGAGCACAGACCAGGUUGCAAAUAUACACUGACUUCCUUCAGUAGAAGUUGUGAAAUUGCUGGAAAAUGGCUGAGGAUCUUUGACCUGUCUCUUCAAAGGACCAGUUCCCAAGUCUCUCCUUUCAACACUCCCUGCUUGCUGCUAUUUAAGCUACCACCUGGAAGCAUAUUCAGCAUGUGGGACCAGCCCUAAAACUUGCUGGAGUUCUUGUUUCUUCCUUGGUCUGUGUGAGUAGCAAAGACAUGUAAGAUCCUACAUGUGCAGGUUCUGGGGGCUGCUGCACAGCUCUACAUGGAAGCUCUAUUCUCUGUACUCAAAAUAUGACUUAUGAUUUAAUUUUCAUAUAAACACAUCUAUUCACAAUCCUAGGCAGAGAGAAUAGAACUUUUUAAACAAUUAAAAUGAGCAUAGUAGCUCAUGUUGAAGUGAAGCAGGAUCCUAUGGUUCUCCUGGAUACAAAUCCUUUCUGUGCCCCCUGUUUCUUUUUGUAGGAAAUAGGUUUAAUUCAGCCUCCUUGACUUUCUCUGAGUUUCAGACAGGGAAGAGAGCAGAUGCAGAAGUAAAGGAGGAGUAGUAAGAAAAGUUUAAAAAUAGUGUGACCUUGGGGUAGAGUCCUGGUUCCUCCUCAAGGGGUAUACAUAACAAUAUCUUUGAGCAGAAUUAAAACCCCCACCAAAAUGGAAGAUGCUAACCACUUGGUGACAUAUUCUUUAUUCCAUAGACAAGGCCACCAUUCAGUAACCUUGAGAACCAUUAAACCCGUCACAAGACCACCUGAUGCCAGAUGAUUGAAGGAAUGAAGGCCCUGCAUGCACCCUGAUCCUUAUCAGCACCUCUGCCUCUUGACUACAAGACUCCUCACAAUCCACUUAUUCCACCCCCGGUUGGGACAUACAGUUUUGAGGGCAUUAGCCUGCUGCAGCCCCCUUUGCCUGGCAAAGCAAUAAAACUAUUCGUU
This 1502-nucleotide long non-coding RNA is filed under the name Bos taurus (domestic cattle). RNAcentral's name for it is "long non-coding RNA NONBTAT027141". Lineage: Eukaryota; Metazoa; Chordata; Mammalia; Artiodactyla; Bovidae. The record is from RNAcentral.